Long non-coding RNA from Boleophthalmus pectinirostris (great blue-spotted mudskipper), 710 nucleotides. RefSeq lists it as uncharacterized. The transcript has 2 exons. The record is from RefSeq and is a predicted model, not a curated record. Lineage: Eukaryota; Metazoa; Chordata; Actinopteri; Gobiiformes; Gobiidae.
CCAGGACUAAACCAGGUCUAAACCAGGACUAAACCAGGACUAAACCAGGACUAAACCAGGACUAAACCAGGACUAAACCAGGACUAAACCAGGACUAAACCAGGUCUAAACCAGGAUUAAACCAGGUCUAAACCAGGUCUGAAUGUGAUUCUUGGAUCAGUUUCUCCGUUUUGUUUCUCAGUUUUUAAACUUUUCAGUUUUCAGUUGGUUUUAAAAUAUGAGUUUGUAAAAUAAUAAUAAUAAAACUCUUCUCUGGUCGAUGUCUGCGACUCGGACCUGGACUCAGACUUGUUCAGCGUUUUUCCAGUUAAACGGCUCAAAUUAGAAUCUUUCCUCGUUUCCUCGUCACAAACAAAACAGACCUGGAGUUGAGUUUUGGUUCGUUCCAAACAUGAGUCCGGGUCGUCGGGUAAAAUCCCCUUCAAGAACUGACGAAGCAGCAAGAAUUUUGUUUUUUUCCGACUCCUGUUCUGUUUGUGACGAGGAAACGACUUUCUAACAUCCAAAUCCAAAUCCAGUUUAUUUAUGAAGCACCAAACUGACCAAAGUGCUGAACACAGAUAAAAACAUAAAUAUAUUCAACAGUUAUUGGAUUAUUGUAUUUAUAACUUCAGUUCUCCGUGCACCUUUAAUUACAACUGUUAUUUGUUUGUUUGUUUGAGAUAUUUUGACUUUGUACUUUGUAGAAAAAUAAACUGCACCAAACCACA